CAGAACAUACAGGAUGCUAUCAAGUCUUGC
Molecule: non-coding RNA, 30 nt
Filed under: Rattus norvegicus (Norway rat)
Lineage: Eukaryota; Metazoa; Chordata; Mammalia; Rodentia; Muridae
Source: RNAcentral